This 160-nucleotide ribosomal RNA is filed under the name uncultured bacterium. RNAcentral's name for it is "partial 16S ribosomal RNA". It matches the Rfam family "Bacterial small subunit ribosomal RNA", at positions 334 to 508 of the family's 1533-position model. The record is from RNAcentral.
GACUCCUACGGGAGGCAGGCAGUGGGGAAUAUUGGCCACAAUGGGGGAAACCCUGAUGCAGCGACGCCGCGUGGAGGAAGAAGGUCUUCGGAUUGUAAACUCCUGUUGUUGGGGAAGAUAAUGACGGUACCCAACAAGGAAGUGACGGCUAACUACGUGC